AAAGCCCUCUUUUUUAAAAAAAAGCAAAGUACCCUACAAAAAUCGUUCCAGUGUUGUGGCUCUGCUUGCACUAGCAUGGCUGAAAGGAAGGGCGGCUGUCGCAGCUGGCUGCCCCGUGAGCAGCAUCCCUGCUUCCAACCUGGUCGCUUUAAGGGCUCAGCAUUUCCAAACGCAGCCCUCGCUCCUUGUCUGUCAGGCAUUUCACUCUGCCACCGCUUAGUGGGGAGCACAAACAGGCACCGUUCAGCCCAGGCCUGUCUCUCCAUACAGCUCCAGCACGAGUUGCUUUCAGGCACGGAGAUGUUUACCUUCCUGACGUCUUUCUGAGGUAUGAUCUUGCUGCUAUUCCAAUUUACAGCUUGCUAUUCCAAUUUAUGAGCUUGCAUCAGAACCACAACACAUGGGAAUUGAACACUGUUAUGUGAUCCUGCAUCUGAUUCUAAGUGACUUACCUCACCUCACGGAGGGACCUCCUAGGAAAGCAAAGCACACCGAACCUGCACAUCCAAAACGAUAUUCCAUCCCUCCCCGCAAAAAGACUGCUUCUGUUAACUAAUUGAUUUAUAAAACCACAAAUAUGGCAAAUGACCCAGAGCACAUUCCACGCUGCAAAAUAAGGAAGCGUGCAGCCAGUCUGCUGCAAGGCGAGGACGUGGAACAGAAGCGUAAAGAUUCUUCCAGCAGAUCAGGAUCACUACAGGAACGCCUCGUACUGACAGAGUUAAAAAAAUAAUAAUAAUUAGACAUUUAAAAGGCAUCUGUCAGGUAGCUAAUUCUCAGUAAAUUAUUUGUGCCAUGGAAAGCAUCUUGGGAUUACAAGGGCUUUCCAUGUUAACACUUACACGCUGCUAUGGAUGGAUGGUACUGAAAACCCAGCUAUAAACGCUGGUGUUGAGGCUACAGGGCGCAUGCCCCACGUAUACUGCUAUGUAAUACUUUACUGCGAUAAUUAUGCUAGUUAUUAUAUUUAUGACUACAUUUCCCUGGGAGACUGGAAAUGCAACAUUCCAAGUAAAGGCUCCACAAUUAAUUUUUUUUGGGGUGGACAAAACAAAGCCAGCACAUUCUGGAUUAAGAUGACUGAGGGCACUAACCCCAAAACAACCUGCUUACAUAAAAACAAAGCAACAAGUUCAAGAUGGAUCCUAACAUAGCAAACCCAGUGCUCUAACAAUGAACCAUGAGAAAAAUUGACAAAAAAAAAAAAAAGAAAAACUUUCUUCAAAUAUUUUUCCCUUAGUUCAGAAGCCUUCUGUUUCACUGAAAGGGAUUUUUUUUUUUUUAAAUGAGAGAGAAAGAUUGCGAAAGUGUGCUGUAACAGGUUUUUUUGCUGAAUUUCAGCUCUAUGUUGAAGGAGGAUUUCUCACACGUGAAAAGGGACAGGUGUUGUACGAAACACACCGGUGUCCUGCCUGAACACUUCCAGUGUGCUGCUGCAGUCUUUCACAACCACGACUGAACUGUCCUUAGUUUACAGUAGUGGCACAGAAACUAGUGUCGAAACAUCGUAUUUUUAUAAGCAAUGCUUACAGCAGGUCAGUUUUUCCAAAAACCACAACACUGAGCUCCAGAAUACCUUCAGGUGGCGAUCCAAUUCGGUGCCCUAUUGCCUUUCUUUUUCCUUUCUGAUAUUGCUAAAGAUUAGGCCACUGGAUGUUUGAGUGUGAAGUCAAAGCUUCUGUACAUGGCACGUUUGUUUGUGUAGUGCUAUAAGAAUUAGCCCUUUCAAUGAUUAACUUUGCCUUCAAGCCAAAGAGUUUCUAAUAAGCCACCUCGGGGGGUCACCGCUCAGUGUCUAUUGCAAUGCUUCGAUUGAGAAACUUGACAUCCGAGCUGCUUUACUGUGCUCAGUCUAAACAGAGACUGCUAACUUAGAUCUUGCUGUCCCCCUUCGUUUUUGACCAUUCUUUAACCACAAACUUGAAGACGAGUUUUAUUCUAAAGCCCUCGCAUUUUUGUGCUCAUUGGACAAUUUUGUAUUUAAUUGGCUUGAGCUGCUGGGCAAGUAUCUGUUUUCUCAACCAGAAAAACAGAAAGCCAAUUGUAUUUUCAUGAAUUUGAACCAGAAUCAUUAUCAUCUUAAGACUAGAAAAGAUGUAUUAUCCCAGGAAACCCUAUGUGCUACAAGGCUUGGUUGAGAAGAGCAAGACUACCCCAAGGAAUACUCUCCUCAGCAACUUUUGCAGUAUCAGCUCUGAGCACGAACGUGAUCUGGACUCCUAUGGAAGUAUCACAGCCAGCAGCACGUGCAUUUGGAAUCUAACUCCACCAAAUAACGCAGGUUAUCAGUGACAACCAGGCAGCACAGAUGAGGUGGUUGUUCUGGAAGGGAGAUCAAACUUCCCGUGGCCCAGGCUCUUCUCCCGGUGGCUCCAGACUGCCCAGCCCACGCUCAGUGCCAGCAGCACCACCAGCAGCAGCAGGGUGCUUCGCCCUGCUCAGUACACAACACCCCAGACUUCCUUUCACAGCAUACAAGGGCAUUUUAUCAAAAGCAGUGCAAAGUACU
Molecule: long non-coding RNA, 2509 nt
Organism: Anas platyrhynchos (mallard)
Lineage: Eukaryota; Metazoa; Chordata; Aves; Anseriformes; Anatidae
Source: RefSeq, a predicted model, not a curated record